UACGUAGGGGGCGAGCGUUGUCCGGAUUCAUUGGGCGUAAAGAGCUCGUAGGCGGCUUCGUAAGUCAGGUGUGAAACCUCCAGGCUCAACCUGGAGCCGCCACCUGAUACUGCGAUGGCUUGAGUCCAGUAGGGGCGCGCGGAAUUCCUGGUGUAGCGGUGAAAUGCGCAGAUAUCGUUUGGAACGCCAAUGGUGAAAACAGGUUGCUGGGGGUGUGCUGACGCUGAGACACGAAAGCCAGGGGAGCAAACGGG
This 254-nucleotide ribosomal RNA is filed under the name uncultured bacterium. Its description in RNAcentral is "partial 16S ribosomal RNA". It matches the Rfam family "Bacterial small subunit ribosomal RNA", at positions 524 to 776 of the family's 1533-position model. The record is from RNAcentral.